GACGAACGCUGGCGGCGUGCUUAACACCUGCAAGUCGAACGGAGUGGCGAACGGUUGAGUAACACGUCGGUGAUCUGCCUUGCCCUCUGGGCUAAGCUUGGGAAACUGGGUCUACUACCGGCUAGUGCACGAUGAGCUCGCGGCCUAUCAGCUUGUUGGUGGGGUAAUGGCCUACCAAGGCGUCGACGGGUUGCCGGCCUGCGAGGGUGUACGGCCACAGUGGUACUGAGAGACGGCCCAGACUCCUACUGGUGGCAGCUGGGGGGAAUAUUGAACAAGGGGCGGAGGCCUGAUGCAGAGACGCCGCGUGGGGGAGGACGGCCUUCGGGUUGUAAACUCCUGUCGACAGGGACGCGGUACCUGUAUAAGAAGCACCGGCUAACUACGUGCCAGCAGCCGCGGUAAUUC
This 408-nucleotide ribosomal RNA is filed under the name uncultured bacterium. RNAcentral describes it as "partial 16S ribosomal RNA". It matches the Rfam family "Bacterial small subunit ribosomal RNA", at positions 28 to 526 of the family's 1533-position model. The record is from RNAcentral.